Cordylochernes scorpioides is the source of this 95-nucleotide non-coding RNA. NCBI's taxonomy places the organism in Eukaryota, Metazoa, Arthropoda, Arachnida, Pseudoscorpiones, Chernetidae. The record is from the annotation of a GenBank genome assembly.
ACAGCCACAUUGUAAACACCGUUUCUCGUCCGAUCACCGAAGUUAAGCAACGUUGGGCCUGGUCAGUAUUUGGGAGGGUGACAUUCGGCGACUUU